Molecule: non-coding RNA, 593 nt
Organism: Salmo salar (Atlantic salmon)
Lineage: Eukaryota; Metazoa; Chordata; Actinopteri; Salmoniformes; Salmonidae
Source: RefSeq, a predicted model, not a curated record
GACUAUACCAAUCCCCCAGCAGGAAACAGAACCUAACAGGUGGAGCCUGGGGCGGUGGUCGGAGCAAAAGAAGGAAACACAUACUAGCAGUAGCAGCAAGCGGCAGCAGGGUGUCUGAGCAGAACCGGUCAGCUGAAAUAGACCGCUAAAUAAGAAAAUGAGUCCUAUACAUUCGUUACACACCGUUAACCAUGAUGGGGUAGUAUGGUAGGAGAUGUCUGUACCAUGAAUCAGGGUGGAUGGACAUACUUGUCUUUGAAAAAGAAGGUGGCAUCCCCCAGGGUGGAGACAGCAUCAAAGGACAGGUGAUGACGUUCUUGUUCCAGCGGUUGACUCGGUUGUUGUGACUGUAGUCCUCUACAUCAGAGACCCCACAGCGAGGGGUACUCAUCACCUCCAGGGUCUCAGAGUCCAGACUGCCUGUGGUGUUGAGGCCAAAGAAGCUCUGCAUGUCCUUCACCUUGGAGGUGAACGAGGGCAGGUUCCUCUUGAUCCGAGCCAAAGGUUGUUCUUUCUUCAGGUUGUAAUAAUGCCGGAGGUACUCCUGAGAACAGAUGAAAGCUUCUUUAGAGUCUCACUAUCAUAUAACGUAA